UGUCAUGACUAUUAUUAGUAUUAUUACUAUCAUUUAAUGUAGCGAGAUUUAUAUAUUAGAGAGGUGCUCUUUUGAAAAGUAAUACACAAUAUUAUUACGGUUUACCAUUCGAAAAUUUUCUUCAAAAAUGAGGGAAAAAAAAUUUACUUUUCUAAUACUCGUGUUCAUAUUCUUGAUAAAUUGUAUGAACAGUGCUGGUGAAAAUUGUGAUAAUAAGCCUUGUAAAUGGACUUCUCAUUGUGAUAGAUGUGGCAAAGAUUAUAUGUGUGACUGGUAUUUCCAUAAAUGGUACGUUUUCUGUGGAUAUUAUGAUCCACUAGACGAUAAUACUGGCUCAAUUUACGACAAAUAAAAAAUUCUGAAUGUGGAAAACCAAGACCUUCCGUUCCGGUACACCAAUCGUCACAACCCACGUCUGACACUGAAAAAAAAAU
Microplitis demolitor is the source of this 434-nucleotide long non-coding RNA. RefSeq lists it as uncharacterized. The transcript is spliced from 3 exons. The record is from RefSeq and is a predicted model, not a curated record. Lineage: Eukaryota; Metazoa; Arthropoda; Insecta; Hymenoptera; Braconidae.